CAAACUAUAGCAUAUAUUAAUGCUUUUUAUUUACAAUAAAAUGAAAAUUUAUAUUUAGUUUGU
RNAcentral lists this transfer RNA (63 nucleotides) under Dinobdella ferox. Its description in RNAcentral is "tRNA-Val". The record is from RNAcentral. Lineage: Eukaryota; Metazoa; Annelida; Clitellata; Hirudinida; Hirudinidae.